CUCCGUAGGUGAACCUGCGGAGGGAUCAUUACACAAAUAUGAAGGCGGGCUGGAACCUCUCGGGGUUACAGCCUUGCUGAAUUAUUCACCCUUGUCUUUUGCGUACUUCUUGUUUCCUUGGUGGGUUCGCCCACCACUAGGACAAACAUAAACCUUUUGUAAUUGCAAUCAGCGUCAGUAACAAAUUAAUAAUUACAACUUUCAACAACGGAUCUCUUGGUUCUGGCAUCGAUGAAGAACGCAGCGAAAUGCGAUAAGUAGUGUGAAUUGCAGAAUUCAGUGAAUCAUCGAAUCUUUGAACGCACAUUGCGCCCUUUGUUAUUCCAAAGGGCAUGCCUGUUCGAGCGUCAUUUGUACCCUCAAGCUUUGCUUGGUGUUGGGCGUCUUGUCUCUAGCUUUGCUGGAGACUCGCCUUAAAGUAAUUGGCAGCCGGCCUACUGGUUUCGGAGCGCAGCACAAGUCGCACUCUCUAUCAGCAAAGGUCUAGCAUCCAUUAAGCCUUUUUUUCAACUUUUGACCUCGGAUCAGGUAGGGAUACCCGCUGAACUUAAGCAUAUCA
This 559-nucleotide ribosomal RNA is filed under the name uncultured fungus. Its description in RNAcentral is "eukaryotic LSU rRNA". The stretch from base 197 to 350 matches the Rfam family "5.8S ribosomal RNA". The record is from RNAcentral. Lineage: Eukaryota; Fungi.